Molecule: unclassified non-coding RNA, 433 nt
Filed under: uncultured Russula
Lineage: Eukaryota; Fungi; Basidiomycota; Agaricomycetes; Russulales; Russulaceae
Description: sequence contains ITS2
Rfam family: 5.8S ribosomal RNA (bases 1-154)
Source: RNAcentral
AACUUUCAGCAAUGGAUCACUUGGCUCUCGCAUCGAUGAAGAAUGCAGCGAAAUGCGAUACGUAAUGUGAAUUGCAGAAUUCAGUGAAUCAUCGAAUCUUUGAACGCACCUUGCGCCCCUUGGAAUUCCGAGGGGCACACCCGUUUGAGUGUCGUGAACAUCCUUCAACCUUUCUUGGUUUCUUAACCGGGCAAGGCUUGGACUUUGGGGGUCUUUCAUUGCUGGCCUCUUUGAAGCCAGCUCCUCCUAAAUGGAUUAGUGUGGUCUGCUUUGCCGAUCCUUGACGUGAUACGAUGUUUCUGCGUCUUGGGUUUCGCACUGUCGCUUCAGACCCCCCUUCUAACCGUCUUGCAUUCAAGACAGAGUUUUAAACCUUGACCUUAAAUCGGGUGAGACUACCCGCUGAACUUAAGCAUAUCAAUAAGCGGAGGCU